GUGUAUGGCCAUACUACCCUUGAACACACCCGAUCUCUUCUGAUCUUGGAAGCUAAGCAGGGUCAAGUUUGGUUUGUACUUGGAUGGGAGACUGCCUGGGAAUACUGGGUGCUGUAGGUG
Podarcis lilfordi (Lilford's wall lizard) is the source of this 120-nucleotide non-coding RNA. The record is from the annotation of a GenBank genome assembly. NCBI's taxonomy places the organism in Eukaryota, Metazoa, Chordata, Lepidosauria, Squamata, Lacertidae.